RNAcentral lists this long non-coding RNA (583 nucleotides) under Diabrotica virgifera virgifera (western corn rootworm). RNAcentral describes it as "uncharacterized LOC126882964". The record is from RNAcentral. Lineage: Eukaryota; Metazoa; Arthropoda; Insecta; Coleoptera; Chrysomelidae.
UUCAAUUAGCCGAUUGAACGCUACACCAAGCUCCGCUUGGUAUUUGUCCCUCGGACUAUAUAUUUCUAGAAGCGACCCUACUACCGUCAAGUCAAUUAGUACAUCUCUUCAAAGCUAUUUAAUGCGAUAAAAAUUUGUACUAGCUCCCUUUUGCCAUUGCCACGUAAAUCAGGCACAAUAUUGGCAUACAUUAUCGUGUUUGUGUGUAGGCCGUUAAACAAUGGCCCCUACCUCGGGAAGAAGAUUUUAAUCAAGCACCUGGAAAAGAAAACCUUCUACCGCUACCUUGGAGAGAGAAUUAGCUUACAACCGCAUCCUGAUGCAGUAGAAUAAAUUAAACAAGACAGCCCUACAGAGACAAGACAGCCCAACAACGUAGCCCUAGACUUCCCUUAACUACUGGCGACGACAAAUUCUACAGGGAUUGGGGACUUCCUUUAGGAACUGUAACGGAAGGACUUAAAGCUGAGUAAAUUUUACCUUUAUAACUUUUGUACCGAUUACCAGCGGGGUCUCGGUCACGGGCUUAGAAAAUUAACUUGGUUAUCAGUAAUCAGUAUACAAUAAAAAUGAUUUUUGUUAA